CCUACGGGAGACUGCAGUGAGGAAUAUUGGUCAAUGGGCGGGAGCCUGAACCAGCCAAGUCGCGUGAGGGAAGACGGUCCUAUGGAUUGUAAACCUCUUUAGGCGGGGAGCAAUGCCGGGCCCGCGUGCCCGGGGGGAUAGUACCCGCAGAAUAAGCAUCGGCUAACUCCGUGCCAGCAGCAGCGGUAAUACGGAGAAUGCGAGCGUUAUCGGGAUUUAUUGGGUUUAAAGGGUGCGUAGGCGGAUUUUUAAGUCUGCGGUAAAAUGUCCUGGUUAAACCCGGGCCGGCCGUUGAAACUGGGGAUCUUGAGUGGGCGAGAAGUAGGCGGAAUGCGUGGUGUAGCGGUGAAAUGCAUAGAUAUCACGCAGAACUCCGAUUGCGAAGGCAGCAUACCGGCGCCCGACUGACGCUGAGGCACGAAAGCGUGGGGAUCGAACAGGAUUAGAUACCCUAGUAGUC
Molecule: ribosomal RNA, 460 nt
Filed under: uncultured bacterium
Lineage: Bacteria
Description: partial 16S ribosomal RNA
Rfam family: Bacterial small subunit ribosomal RNA
Source: RNAcentral